UCACUUCACAUUAAGCUGGCGGGGCCUAUAUAGGGCCUGCCGGUUUCGGCCGGCUAUGGCGAUAAAUUGCGGUGUGCAAUAGGCACAACGGACCCGGGGGCAGUACCCGGCGGCUCCACCACCGCAAGCGACGGACCGAAUGAUCGGGCGCUUGCGAUGAUGGGGCCGAACCAGGAUCGACGUGUGUUGAAAGACAUUGUUUUCGCCCGGGCUGAGUAACCCGUUCAAGGCUCAAAACACACAAGUGCCAACGAUAACGAAGCACUCGCUCUCGCAGCGUAAUGUGAUGGGCUAACGCCCUGAAGUUACAAAGCUAAAGCGCGGUUGGACCCACCGGGCAACAGAAGCGGAUUCCG
Molecule: transfer-messenger RNA, 356 nt
Filed under: Erythrobacter mangrovi
Lineage: Bacteria; Pseudomonadati; Pseudomonadota; Alphaproteobacteria; Sphingomonadales; Erythrobacteraceae
Description: Erythrobacter sp. EB310 transfer-messenger RNA
Rfam family: Alphaproteobacteria transfer-messenger RNA
About the family: Bacterial tmRNA, also known as 10Sa RNA or SsrA, is named for its dual tRNA and mRNA-like properties. Its role is to liberate the mRNA from a stalled ribosome.
Source: RNAcentral